GAUGAACGCUGGCGGCGUGCCUAAUACAUGCAAGUCGAACGAACAGACGAGGAGCUUGCUCCUCUGACGUUAGCGGCGGACGGGUUAGUAACACGUGUAUAACCUACCUAUAAGACUGGGAUAAAUUCGGGAAACCGGAGCUAAUACCGGAUAAUAUAUUGAACAGCAUGGUUCAAUAGUUAAAGACGGUUUUGCUGUCACUUAUAGAUGGAUCCGCGCCGCAUUAGCUAGUUGGUAAGGUAACGGCUUACCAAGGCAACGAUGCGUAGCCGACCUGAGAGGGUGAUCGGCCACACUGGAACUGAGACACGGCCCAGACUCCGAUGGGAGGCAGCAGUAGGGAAUCUUCCGCAAUGGGCGAAAGCUUGACGGAGCAACGCCGCGUGAGUGAUGAAGGUCUUCGGAUCGUAAAACUCUGUUAUUAGGGAAGAACAAAUGUGUAAGUAAAUAUGCACGUCUUGACGGUACCUAAUCAGAAAGCCACGGCUAACUACGUG
This 497-nucleotide ribosomal RNA is filed under the name uncultured bacterium. RNAcentral describes it as "partial 16S ribosomal RNA". It matches the Rfam family "Bacterial small subunit ribosomal RNA", at positions 28 to 507 of the family's 1533-position model. The record is from RNAcentral.